This 76-nucleotide transfer RNA is filed under the name Lachnospira eligens. RNAcentral describes it as "[Eubacterium] eligens tRNA-Val(tac)". It matches the Rfam family "tRNA". Rfam says of the family: Transfer RNA (tRNA) molecules are approximately 80 nucleotides in length. Their secondary structure includes four short double-helical elements and three loops (D, anti-codon, and T loops). Further hydrogen bonds mediate the characteristic L-shaped molecular structure. tRNAs have two regions of fundamental functional importance: the anti-codon, which is responsible for specific mRNA codon recognition, and the 3' end, to which the tRNAs corresponding amino acid is attached (by aminoacyl-tRNA synthetases). tRNAs cope with the degeneracy of the genetic code in two manners: having more than one tRNA (with a specific anti-codon) for a particular amino acid; and 'wobble' base-pairing, i.e. permitting non-standard base-pairing at the 3rd anti-codon position. The record is from RNAcentral. Lineage: Bacteria; Bacillati; Bacillota; Clostridia; Lachnospirales; Lachnospiraceae.
UGGGGUCUUAGCUCAGCUGGGAGAGCAUCUGCCUUACAAGCAGAGGGUCACAGGUUCGAGCCCUGUAGGCCCCAUC